CUGGAAUACUAUCGGUAGCAAACGGACUUCGUUGUCACUCAUUUGUUUUCGAUGAUGGAGCCUUCAAAUCGACGAUCGACACCGUUGAACAUGAUCUAUACCCCUUAAACUAUCUAGAAACUAAAUUACAAAUCUUUUCGACAUCAUUUAUCUAAUAAUCAACGGGUUUCAAACUUUGUAAUUUUAAUGGUAGAUAUGUAGCGUUUUCUCAUUUAACGGUGUAAGCCUAUCCAAAUUAAUUGAAUUUUGGUUAGAAAACUCUUUAAACUAUUUAGAACAAGAUAUAUACUAUCGAUCUUGAUUAUAAAAUUUCUAUCAUCACUUUUUAAAGGAUAUUUAUUUUCAGCUGUUUAUUUUUAUGCCAACUUGAUGGAUAAGAGAACAAUAUCGAAAAAGUAUGAAAUUUGAUUUCUAGAUACUUCAUGUGGUAUAGAUCAUUUUCAACGGUGCCGAUCGUCGAUUUGGAGGCUCCAUUAUUGAAAACAAAUGGGUGGCAACGUAGCUCGUUUGCUACCGAUAGUAUUCCAGCUCAACUAUAUAUAUAUAUAUAUAUAUAUAUAUAGUAGAGUAGGGCUAGAAUACUUUUACAAGUAUCACCUAAGUAAUACUUGUGUGUUUUUAGUCCUUGGAUGGAGAGAUAUGAGGUUGAGAUGAUGGUGGUAGGUGGUGGUAGGUGGAAUAGUGUUUAAUCCAAAGGUUAUUUGUAAUCAAAAAAUAGAUCCAAUGGCUAAAAACGUGAUAGUAACAUGGGGAUGAUANUAGUAACCUCACUAUAUAUAUAUAUAUAUAUAUAUAUAUAUAUAUAUAUAUAUAUAUAUAUAUAUAUAUAUAUAUAU
RNAcentral lists this long non-coding RNA (836 nucleotides) under Ananas comosus (pineapple). RNAcentral's name for it is "long non-coding RNA (ACOM_LNC015519)". The record is from RNAcentral. Lineage: Eukaryota; Viridiplantae; Streptophyta; Magnoliopsida; Poales; Bromeliaceae.